AAGAUAGGGAGGGACAGCAACAAUAAGAAGGGGUAGGGAAAGGGAGGGGAAAGGAAAGGAGGGGGGAGGGGUUUUAAAGGGGAUGUUGAUGGCGGAAGUCUGUCCGCUCUCUCUCUCUCUCUCUCUCUCUCUUUUACAAAUUAGAGGUAUAUAAUUUCUGACGGUAAGAUUUUUGUGACCUUUUCCCCCUCAAGUCUUACCCUUACGACACAAUUGGGAUAUUUUCUUAUGUGAACGAAACAAUACGGAACUCCUGACCGAGGGAGAGCCUUGAGAGAUCCUAACAGACGUAAUUAUAUGAGAAAUUCGCUCCAUAGUGGAACGUUCGGGGUAAGUAAACGUUCUAUUGUGUCGGGGUGAAAGUUCAAAUCCCGCACGUUUUCUGGGGACUCAAAGGCGAACGUUAGAGAGUAUUGGCCCCCUAAAAAACGUUGAUAAAGUGACGGUAUUGUAUGGUAACGUUUGAUAGGGUGUGGCCUCGUUUUCUGGGGAUUCAAAGGCGAACGUUUUAGAAAGUAUUGGCCACCUAAAAACGUUGAUAAGGAGACGGUAUUGUGUGGUAACGUUUGAUAGGGUGUGGCCUCGUUUUCUGGGGAUUCAAAGGCAAACGUUUCAGAGAGUAUUAGCCACCUAAAAAACGUUGAUAAGGCGACGGUAUUUUGUGGUAACGUUUGAUGGGGUGUGGCCUCGCUUUCUGGGGAUUCAAUGGCGAAAGUUUUAGAGGAUUGGCCACCUAAAAAACGUUUUGACGGUAUAGGGGUAAAGUUUAAUGGGUGUGCUCUAUGGUGACGUUUUUGAAGGGUGAUGAGUCCAUGGCGAUGUUGGAGUGGUGAACGUCUGAUUGUUUAGUCUUCAUUAACAAUAUUUCAGCUGAUUUGUAUUUUUCACCCGUUUUUCAAGGCCUGGUUAGCUAGCUUCGUUGAUUUUUUAUAUAACUUUUUUUACGACUGAGUUUGUAAUAUGUCGACUUAAACUUAAAUCCUACACUUCUCGCUAACUUCGUCCCCCCAAAAGAAUUAAAUUAAAAAGACAAACACGCCACACGCCUUAUGAAUACAAAUACGACGCUUAUAAAAAAAAAAAUCUAAUGUCAGCGAAAACAACUUUACGAGAAAAUUUAUGAGGUGAAAAAUAAUUUGUCUAAGGGAAGUGGCUCAAAAAAAUGCGUGUGUAAGAUUAAAAUGUUUUUGUGAGGUCUGUGGCAACGUCUGUAGUCUGUGUAUGAAAACAAUAAUUCGUCUGUGAUAUCUGUGGUAAAGUCUGUAGUCUGUGUAUAAAAACAAUAAUUCGUCUGUGAUAUCUGUGGUAAAGUCUGUAGUCUGUAUAUAAAAACAAUAAUUCGUCUGUGAUAUCUGUGGUAAAGUCUGUAGUCUGUGUAUGAAAACAAUAAUUCGUCUGUGAUAUCUGUGGUAAAGUCUGUAGUCUGUGUAUGAAAACAAUAAUUCGUCUGUGAUAUCUGUGGUAAAGUCUGUAGUCUGUAUAUAAAAACAAUAAUUCGUCUGUGAUAUCUGUGGCAACGUCUGUAGUCUGUAUAUAAAAACAAUAACUCGUCUGUGAUAUCUGUGGUAAAGUCUGUAGUCUGUGUAUAAAAAAAAUCGCCGGUGAUAUCUGUGGCAACGUCUGUAGUCUGUAUGCAUAAAAAAAUCGCCUGUGAUAUCUGUGGCAAAGUAUUUAGUCUGCAUAUAUAUAGAAAAAUCACCAUGGCAAAUUCCCUCCACGGCUGCAAUCUCGUAUAUAGCAACUCACGGGCAGCCUUCAGCGAAUGCAAAAAAAAUAUGAAUAACGGAAAAAAAAUAUAUAUUCCAGGCAACAUUUUCUUUUGUCGUCGGAGGAAUAUAAUGACAGGGAAUCUCUGGACGACUUCCUCUGACCCUUCCCCCGCUACCCCCCCCCCUCUCCAAUUAGUGACCUCGGCUGGCCUCCGUUAGUGGGUCGCGGAGGUCAUGGCACGGGAUCGGCGUUUAUCGUGUUGACGCGGAACUCUGCACGGCGUAAUGAGGGAAGGAACCGUAAAUAUUGCAAGCCCUUGUAAAUAUGUUAGAUGGAAUGCAUGUUGUAUUUUUCUUGACGUUAAGUGUAGUAAGUAUUAAGAGUAAUAAUAACAGUAAUAAUGAACACAAUAGUAAUAACAGAAAUAAGAAGAACAAUAACAAUACCAACAAUGAGAAUGGUUACUGACUCGUGUUCUUAGAAAUCUUGAUAAAAAAAAUCUUCGAACAAUCUUUACCUAAAUCUCUCUCUUCUCUUCUCUUUUCUCUUCUCUCUCUCUCUCUCUCUCUCUCUCUCUCCUCUCCAAAAAGACAAAACUACACACACACACACACACACACACACACACACACA
This is a long non-coding RNA of Eriocheir sinensis (Chinese mitten crab), 2343 nucleotides long. RefSeq lists it as uncharacterized. The record is from RefSeq and is a predicted model, not a curated record. The transcript has 2 exons. NCBI's taxonomy places the organism in Eukaryota, Metazoa, Arthropoda, Malacostraca, Decapoda, Varunidae.